Molecule: ribosomal RNA, 252 nt
Filed under: uncultured bacterium
Lineage: Bacteria
Description: partial 16S ribosomal RNA
Rfam family: Bacterial small subunit ribosomal RNA
Source: RNAcentral
UACGUAGGGUGCAAGCGUUGUCCGGAAUUAUUGGGCGUAAGAGCUCGUAGGCGGUUUGUCGCGUCUGCUGUGAAAACGCGAGGCUCAACCUCGCGCCUGCAGUGGGUACGGGCAGACUAGAGUGCGGUAGGGGAGAUUGGAAUUCCUGGUGUAGCGGUGGAAUGCGCAGAUAUCAGGAGGAACACCGAUGGCGAAGGCAGAUCUCUGGGCCAUUACUGACGCUGAGGAGCGAAAGCGUGGGGAGCGAACAGG